CCUACGGGAGGCAGCAGUGGGGAAUAUUGCACAAUGGGGGAAACCCUGAUGCAGCGACGCCGCGUGAGCGAUGAAGUAUUUCGGUAUGUAAAGCUCUAUCACCAGGGAAGAAAAUGACGGUACCUGACUAAGAAGCCCCGGCUAACUACGUGCCAGCAGCCCCGGUAAUACGUAGGGGGCAAGCGUUAUCCGGAUUUACUGGGUGUAAAGGGAGCGUAGACGGCGGUGCAAGCCAGAUGUGAAAGCCCGGGGCCCGACCCCGGGACUGCUCUUGGAACUGCGUGGCUGGAGUGGAGGAGGGGCAGGCGGAAUUCCUGGUGUAGCGGUGAAAUGCGUAGAUAUCAGGAGGAACACCGGUGGCGAAGGCGGCCUGCUGGACUGCAACUGACGUUGAGGCCCGAAAGCGUGGGGAGCAAACAGGAUUAGAUACCCUAGUAGUC
RNAcentral lists this ribosomal RNA (440 nucleotides) under uncultured bacterium. Its description in RNAcentral is "partial 16S ribosomal RNA". It matches the Rfam family "Bacterial small subunit ribosomal RNA", at positions 338 to 795 of the family's 1533-position model. The record is from RNAcentral.